UACAGAGGGUGCAAGCGUUAAUCGGAGUUACUGGGCGUAAAGGGUGCGUAGGUGGUUGUUUAAGUUAGAUGUGAAAUCCCUGGGCUUAACCUAGGAACUGCAUCUAAUACUGGAUGACUAGAGUAUUGUAGAGGGUAGUGGAAUUUCCGGUGUAGCGGUGAAAUGCGUAGAGAUCGGAAGGAACACCAGUGGCGAAGGCGGCUACCUGGACAAAUACUGACACUGAGGCACGAGAGCGUGGGGAGCAAACAGG
Molecule: ribosomal RNA, 253 nt
Filed under: uncultured bacterium
Lineage: Bacteria
Description: partial 16S ribosomal RNA
Rfam family: Bacterial small subunit ribosomal RNA
Source: RNAcentral